Molecule: transfer RNA, 73 nt
Filed under: Felis catus (domestic cat)
Lineage: Eukaryota; Metazoa; Chordata; Mammalia; Carnivora; Felidae
Also listed under: 4 other names
Rfam family: tRNA
About the family: Transfer RNA (tRNA) molecules are approximately 80 nucleotides in length. Their secondary structure includes four short double-helical elements and three loops (D, anti-codon, and T loops).
Source: Rfam by way of RNAcentral
ACCUGAUUGGCUCAGUUGGAAGAGCAAGCAAUUCUUGAUCUCAGGGUUAUGAGUUCAAGUCUCACAUUGGGUG